GAUGAAGAACGCAGCGAAAUGCGAUAAGUAAUGCGAAUUGCAGAAUUCAGUGAGUCAUCGAAUCUUUGAACGCACAUUGCGCCCUGUGGUACUCCGCAGGGCAUGCCUGUUCGAGCGUCAUUUCAACCCUCAAGCUCUGCUUGGUGUUGGGCCCUGCCCGCUGCGGCCGGCCCUAAAGACAGUGGCGGUGCCGCCUGGCCCUGAGCGUAGUACAUCUCUCGCUCCAGUGCCCGGUGGUAGCCUGCCAGAACCCCAACUCUCGUGGUUGACCUCGGAUCAGGUAGGGAUACCCGCUGAACUUAAGCAUAUCAAUAAGCGGAGGA
RNAcentral lists this unclassified non-coding RNA (323 nucleotides) under soil metagenome. Its description in RNAcentral is "partial contains 5.8S ribosomal RNA, internal transcribed spacer 2, and large subunit ribosomal RNA". The stretch from base 1 to 120 matches the Rfam family "5.8S ribosomal RNA", at positions 35 to 154 of the family's 154-position model. The record is from RNAcentral.